CCGACGUGGACACCCAGCGAGUUGCUCUCCUGGCUCUGUCCUGGUGGCGCAUGGGAGCGUAGCUCUGAGCAGAGACCUACACCUUCCCAGAGUCCUUUGGGGCCAUUACUGGGGAGCUAAACCAUGCAGUGCACAAAC
This 138-nucleotide small nucleolar RNA is filed under the name Monopterus albus (swamp eel). RNAcentral describes it as "Small nucleolar RNA SNORA73 family (ENSMALG00000010703.1)". The record is from RNAcentral. Lineage: Eukaryota; Metazoa; Chordata; Actinopteri; Synbranchiformes; Synbranchidae.